GGGGGAGGGGAAGGAAGAGGAGGAGAAGAAGAAGAAGAAGAAGAAGAAGAAGAAGAAAGAGAAGAAAACAAAAGAUUGGCAACAGAUGUUAGCUCAGGUGCCAAUCUUUAAAAAGAAAAAAAAAAACUGAACUAUUCAUAGACAAAAAGGCUUGGAUGAAUGUCCACUGCUUUGUGUUAAGUUAAAGAAGCCAGACUCAAAAGGCUACAUACGAUAUGAUUCCAUGUAUAAGACAUCGGGAACAGGCUAGGAACAGAGAAGAGUUGGUAGUUGCCUGGGGUUAAGGGUGAGAGGAGGGUUUCACUACAAAUGGGCAUUACGAGGGAAUUUUUUAGGUGUAAAGGAACUGUUCUGUAUUCUGAUUUUGGUGCUGGUUAGAUGACUCUAGGCAUAUGUCAAAACAGAACUGUACACCAAAAAGAGUUAAUUUUACUACAUGUAAAUUUAAAAAGAAAUUUAUAAAAGCAAAGAAAAAGAAAAGAAAAGAAAAGGAAGAAAACGAAAGUAGCUCCUGGCUGGACCACAGCCUAUUUCAGAGCCAAGAAGGGAGCUCGAGGUCACAAGGGGACACUCCACUCGCUACUACGUGUUCCACUGGCUUUAGCCAAACCCUUGGUGUGAACAAGCAGUGGGAGGAACAUGGCCAUUUUCAAGGUGCAGAGGCCCUAAGGUUUGACUUAGGAAACUAGACAUAAAGAGAAAUCGUGGGAGAGGGCAACUGUGUUGAAGUGGACAAAUUGGUCUUCUCAGAAUGAAGUUGGGAAAAAUCUUUUGGUGUUACCACGUUGGGAAAGAACAAUGCAGAUCAGGGCUUAUGGUAUUCGGCCAAGAGAUCUGAAAAGCUGCUGGAAGACUUCCAAAGCUUGGACCCUUCAUGUUUUUCUUCUCUGCCAGCAAUUCAGUGAGUGAAGGCUGUGUCUAUAAAGGGAAACCAAUUCUUUGGGGCAAUCAGGCUUUAUGGCAGCAGAUUUUAAGCAUUUACAUAACAGUUGAUGGGUUCAGCUUUUACUCUCAAAUGUAAGGCAGAGAAGAAACAAGUUAUGGUGGUGAGAACAAGAGGUUUAGCCUCAAGCUUCCUUGGGUUAUAACAGGCUGUGUGGCCUGUGCUAGUUACUUACCCUCUUUAAGCCUCCAUUUCCUCCUCUGGGACAUAAGAUGGUUGUGAAGAUCAGAGAUGAGGCAGAAUGAAUUAAGAAUGAACUCUUCCCCCUGACUUCCACACUCAUGCACAUGUGAGAGGGCAGGGAGAGCCAUCCUCAGCCAGUGUUCAUCAGGAGCAGAUCAGGGUCAAACUCCUGUUCACAGAAGGGAUAUCCUUUCCUUAUAUGGGAUGGAGAUAGCCGUGAGGGAUGUCUCUAGAAAAAUGCAAUGCCCAUCUCAGCAUGGGGGCUUGCUUCCUAGCUAACUCAUGAGAAGUUCGUUGUAGCUCCUUUUGGUGGGAGUGAGACAGGAGUGAGAACACCUGCUAUCCCCUCAUUCCUGGGGCCAGAGUUUACUCCUUUGCCUUUGGGUUUGGCAAAAUGUGGGCAGGGGGGAGUUUCCACUUGCCUCCUAUUCAAGCUGAAGGGCUAGAGUCUGGAAACCACUGUCUUGUGUGGCGGGGCAGUUGGAGGUUCCCUGGAAGGAGAUACAGGAAUGAGGGGGUGUUGAGCGAGUGGGUUACAGGGGAGGGGAAGAGAUGGAGAGAGAGAGUGCACAUGAGCACACCAUUGUGGGGUGAGGUGCUUUCUGACACCCACAUCUGUCUGUAAGCCUUCUUUCUUUUGUGUGGAGAAAAGCAACAAGAAAUUAGAAAACAUGACAACCUCCAUGCCUUUUAUUCUGAACUGCUCAGCAUCAUGGUGUGAGUUCCUACUUCCAUUAUGGUUCUGUGUGUUGGGUCUUGAGAAGACUAAUUAGGUGGAGGUGCUUGAUGACCGAGACCUUAACUGUUGUGUGGUCAUUAUCAUCAUCACCAUAGUUAAUGUUUACUGAGCACUGACUACAUGCCAGGCCCUGUUUCAAGCACUUCAAUCAUUUUAACCUAUAUUUUGUCCUCACAUUAGCCCCAGGUGUCUACUUUUAUAUUAGAGAUGACUGUGGGGCACAGAUGGGUUAAGCGCCUUGGCCUUGAUCACACAGUAAGGGGAGAAUUUAAACCUAGGCCACUUGGGUCUCGAGCCCAUGAUCUUAAUCACCUUCCUGUGCACAGAGCCCCAAGUCACUCCCAUCCCCACAUGAGAAACUGCAAAAAUUAGUUCUCAGACAGAAGCUGCUGGUAUCAAGGGACCCUGUUUGGUUUUGAGACCCUUAGGAUGGGUGUAGUGAGAAUUAAUGGCUUGGAAAGGCACCGACACAUUGUCAGUGUUAGCAAGACCUUCACUCCCUGGAUUAUUUUUGCGUUCUCCCUGUGGCUGUAGCAUAACAAAUCACACUUUGCUUAGUUUCUGAUUAUCUAGAUGAACUUUCCCUUAAAAGAAAUUGAUUUGAGAACAAAUUGAAAAAAACUGAGAUCUAGCUCGGUAUCAAUGAUCAGAUGAUAUAACAAAUUCCACACUCGACUGAACUGAUAAUAGAACCAGUAAAACAAAAAGCCUAGAAGAGACUCUGAGGAGCCUCGAGUCCCUGCUUCCACAGAGAGAAAGGCAUCUAUCUGUUUCUUAAGGAAGUCUGAGCAUCACAUUUCUUGUAAAGAAAAGAUUCUUGGUGACUUUCUUCUUCUGCCCAUGCAUUCACUUUGUGCCUGGGGUAUUCAAAGCAGCAUACUUGUGAAGCCCAGUCCAUCUCUUCAGGAAGAUACCAGAGGAAAACCAUGAAGGGUUCAGUAGGCAUACAAGGCAUAAAACAGGACUGGAUUUAAAUUGAGUACCCAGGGUCAAUUCAAGGCCUUCCCUUCUCAGGUAGGCCGAAGUCCCAGUGUUGAGAACUAGUUACCACUGCCCUCGAAUUUUCAGAGCUGUGAGGAUGGAAGUCCUGUUGUGUGAUCUUUGGGAAGCUGUUGUUGGAGCUUUUGCCUCAGUUGGUUAAACUAACGUUCAAGUUUGGGCCAGUCCUCCUGAUGGGUUAAUAGGGAGAGGCAAGUCUUUUCUAAACUUGUCGGCAAGUGUUAUGUACCACGAACUCUUUCAUUUUCACCCAUGGCUAGGGUUGCUUUACUAUUAGCACAUGAAUCAAACUGUUAAGGACUACUGAUAUUUACUGUUCAACACACUAUUACAUAAGCACUCUUGUUGCCAUGGAACAUUUGACAUUUUGCAAAGCUCGCACUGAACCUACCCACAAAGAGUUGAAAUUUCUACAGUUCUUGAAAAGGACGCCUUGUUAUCAGUGAUGUUUUGAAUUGGUUGGUCAUGGUUUUCAAUCGUUGCUCUUCUUAUAGUAAUGACUGUAUUUAAAGAUUUAAGGAUGUAUGUUUAUUAAUUAUCUUUCCUUAGUGUAACUUAUAUUAUUACCAUUUUGAUUUUGUCAUUCUUUUCUUUAUCUUUUUUUAUCAUUGAGAUAAAUGAUAAAAAUUCCCACUGGUAAGCGGUAAUUAGUAGGGUAGAUGGGUCACUGAGUCCUUUUUGCUCCAUCUGUAAGAACCACUGGAUGGAACAUGGUGUUAAAUAUCCGGUAUAAACUUACUUCCAUUGAUUCCUUGCUGUGAGCCAAGUGGCUAGGUCUAUGAGUGCAGGGCCAGCAGGGCAGAUCAGAACCACAGCCUCUGCCAGAAAAAACAAACGAAAAACCAAACCAAACCAAUAACAAUGAGAAACUCCAAAGUGCAUGCUCUCUAGCUGCAGAAGGGCACUCUUUCAAAUAAGAAACAAGGCCUUAAUACAACUUCCCCUUUGUAAUCUGGAGACCUGUAUCUUGUUGUUUGUACACUCACAUCUAGACUCUGUUCUUGAGAUGACACGUUUGAGGCUCUUCACAAUACUGGUUAACUUUGCCCAGCAAUACAUCCUGCCACUUCCCCAUUAUCCACACUCUGGCUUGGGUGACUGUGUCCCCUCCUCACACACAUCAUGCACUGCCAUCUCUAUGCCUUUGCUGAGGCUGUCAUCUCAGUGUGGGAGUGUCUCCCUCGCCUCCAUCUCUAUGCGUGUGUCUAUAUGUGCAUGCACACACAUGUACAUGCUCCCCUUGACUAUCUGGUGAGCUCUAACGCAUCCUUAAAGAUCUAGUGCAGCCCUGUGUGAUUCUCUCUUAUAGCUUUUCCAUUAUAGUACACUUUCCAGUUCAGGAGAGCUGGUUUUGUUCUUAGUUCCAUUGUGCAACUGGAUCAAGACCCUCAUCUCUCUAUGAUUUUUGUAAAAUGACAAUAAUUCCUUUAUUUUAUUUAUUUGUGAGGAAUAUUGGCCCUGAGCUACUAUCUGUGCCAAUCUUCCUCUAUUUUGUACGUGGGACGCUGCCACAGCAUGGCUUGAUGAGUGAUGUAGGUUCACACCCAGAAUCUGGUCCUGUGAACCCCGUGCUGCUGAAGCAGAGGGUGCGAACUUAAUCAUUAUGCCACUGGCUAGCUCACAAUAAUCCCUUUAAUCAGAUGAAGUUUUUUAAAUAUUUGUGAGAAUCUUCAGAUAAAGAAUUUAAUGGAAUGAGUUUUUUGUAAUUUGACCGAUGAGCCAAAUUCUUUCUUACGUUUGAUUUAUGUCUGUUUGCAUCUGUGUUUGUAAGAGAAAGGCAUAAUGUUGAAGCUAUGUAUGUUGUCUCAUGCUCUCUCAUGACCUCUGUCAAAUGUACUCUGUGUUAUUCACAUUUUAUUCCACACAGUGCAGAAAACACCGACUGUUCAGUCAGUGACGAGUUUCCAACAAGUGAUAGCUCUGGGAGGGACAUGUUGUUCGGAAAUGUACAAGGCUACACAGUAGGGCUAGAAAGCUUGAUUAGUCCAUAUGGCACAUUCUGUACUUUGCAAGAGAAGCAAGACAGAUGUUUGUCUCAAUUUCAUUUAAAAGGCAUUUUCCUCAGAUUUAUAUGCUGAACCACAUGACCGACAUGUUUUCUUCAUAACUCUUUCACCCCAUGUGUUACCCAUUAUGGAUUCAGAAGGCUGCAAACACCACAGCCGGUGUGAAUUGGCAGAGGACAUAUGCAGAAAGUAGAUUGUUUUGAGUUAUCCCCUCUGUGGGGUUUCCCUCAGCUCAUCCUGAUCAUCACCCACAAGAUGCCCUCCGGAAUCUGGAACUGGGUUCUGGCAUUCCUAGAUGUGAAUGCUAGGACUUCAAACUGAAUCUCUUGGCUGUUCCUUUAGGGCUUUUCUAUUAGUUAGAAUCCCAUACUGGGGAGCAUCCUUUUAUAUACUAGAAAGGAAGAAACUUUUAAAAAACAAUUUGAUAUAUUUCUUUAUUCAAGGGCCAUUUGUGCAUCUAAGAUGGACUAGGCACUGUGAUGGGUACAAGAGAUACACAGAUGAACAAGACAAAAUCUUUGCCCUUCAAGAGCUCUAUGUCUGCUGCCAAGGGACAGUGCGCUGUGGGGAGAGCCAGAACACAGGUCUGGAUCAGGCAUCACGGAGACCUUGAGGGAUGUAGGAACAACUCUGGGGAUGCUGGGAAAGGCUCAUGGAGGAGGUGACAUUUGGGUUGGGUCUUGAAGGAUGAGCAGUAUUUCACUAGUUUCAACCUUACAGAUAUAAGCAAAAGAUUAUCUUGCUUCAUUUCAGAUAAAAUAAAUAGAUGUAUCAAAAUCUGAUUUGUUUGGCAGAGGGUCACAAGUAAGAUUUGUUAGAUAAUUCCAAAUCAGUUGUCAAAUAUAAGCCACUGUCUUUAUUACAAUUAUAAGCAAAUACUGAUAGGACAUGAUAUUUGGUUUCCCAUCCAAGAAUUCACCCAAAAACAGAGUAAUAAAGAUAUCAUGUGAGAUUUCAGGACCCACUAAAAGGCUUUUCGAAGAAUGUUUUGCAAUACAGGCAGUUCUCACUUUGCGUGGUUCUGAUAUGUAUGGAUGCUGGUUACCAUGGUUUGCUGAAAUUAUACCAGCCCCCAGACAACACAGUUCAAAUUUCAGUGCCUGUGGUAUGUUAACUGUGAGCAAUUGCAUGAAGUACGAGUUCUACUGCUGCCUCUUCAGUCUGUGAAUGGCUAUGUAAAUAACAGACGUAAUUUACAAUCAGCGACCAAUCCUGUUGCCUCCUUGUCACUUAGUCAUGAAGUGACAUGUCACGAAAGUGGAUAAUCAAAAGAGAGAAGUGGCCAAUAAAGAUAAAAAUACAGCAAAGAACCAAAUUUGAUAGUGCUGGAAUUGAAAUUCGAAUCAAAUAUAAAUGGAGUUACAGGAGAAGCAACUGACUGUGGAAUUGUUGACCCCGCCACUAGGACACUCUAGAAACGCAGCCGGAGGAACUUAGUGAAGAGGAACUUACAAACAUGAGGGAGGAAAGUGUUUGAGACGAGAAGGAUUAAGAUAACUCAGGAAGUGACGCCCGCAAAAAUUCUUCACGUUAAAGGAACUCUUGGAGUUAUUUCACAACAUUGAAAGCACAAACAAUAGUGUUGGAGGCUGACUCAAAUUCAGAAGAGAGGAUGGCAAUUUGCCAAGGCACAGAAAAGAUGUUCACUCCGUAGUUACAAGAAAAAGAAAGGAAAUCCAUUUCAAGCUCCUGUUGAUAUGUUAUUUUUUUUUUUCAAAUAAAUAAAAUAAUUCUCACUGUUUCUAACUUUUAAAUUUGGUGUACUAAAUAAAUAUUAGUUUUACUAUUUUUUAUUUCCCUGUACAUUUAUAACCAACAGUAAGAGAGUUUUCAAAGUUUUGACAAAAAUUUUUAAAGGCCAUGGAAUAAUAGCAAUUUUUUGCAUUGAUUAUUCAGAUCACUUUGCAUGGUUUCAGCUUGCUCAGUCAUUUUUAUGGUUCCCUGCCACCAUGCCAAGCAGGAACUUCCUGUGCUUUGAAAAGACCAGAGACACUAAGAGCCGGUAAAAGCCCAUAGCAGGGAAAUAGAUGAAUCUGCUUCUGUUGUCAAUUCCAUUCUUACAACGAAGGCUCUAGCUGUUUAAACAGGGUGCUUAGCUUUCUAUUUAAAAACUCUUCCAUUUCAUAGGGCAGGGGGCCCUUCCAGGACGCAACACUAAUCUUAAGAAGUUGUAUAUAAAUUUUGCAACAUGGACUAUUUUCAUCUCUUUGGCCUCCUAAAGACUUUCCCAGUUGCUAUUUGGACCUGUUAGAGCUCUCCUUCGUGGAGGGCAAGUUGUGUUCUGUCCUUUGAGUAGAGAAAAGUUCACGGUGAGAUUUGCUUUUUAGCUGUAGGUCAUGUACUGGUGGAGUCCCCAGGUCGGUGAAGACUGUUGUCAGGAACAUUGUUUUUUUUGUUUGUCUGUUUAAAGUUUGGCGCCUGAGCUAACAACUGUUGCCAAUCUUCUUCUUCUUUUUUUCUCCCCAAGUCCCCCAAGUACAUAGUUGUAUAUUUUUUAGCUGUAGGUCCUUCUAGUUGUGGCAUGUGGGUUGCUGCCUCAACAUGGCCUGAGGAGGUUGUGCUGGGUCCGCACCCAGGGUCCAAACCAGCGAAACCCUGGGCCUCCAAAGCAGACCGUAGGAACCCAACCACUCAGCCACGGGCCUGCCCCCAGGAACAUCGGUUUUUGCCUGCACAGGGUCCGUUACCCAGUCUGCUGAUAAUCGUCCCCAGCUUUGGGGAUAUGCAUUUCCCAUUGUAUACAGUAUUUGUGGGAAUCUCUUAGGUGCCUCACACUUCCUUAGCUUUUCUGCCUGGAAUUCAAGCAGUGAAUAGUGUGACCACUGUAGCUGAGUCUCCCCAAGCAGAUGUAUGUUGCAAAGCUGUCCAUUAAUUCUGCUCCUUAAAUCCCCAGAAUUGCUUUAACUCCCAUUCCUUCUGAAUCUCAUUACACUGGUCCCUCAGUAUCCAUGGGGGAAUGUGUUCCACCAUCCCCCCAAGGAUACCAAAAUCUGGGAUGCUCAAGUCCCUUAGUCAGCCCUCAUUAUCGGCGUUUCCGAGACCAACCUCAGAGGGUAAACUUGGUACAGGAUCUGCAGUUGGUUGAUUCCCCCGAUGCCUAACCUGUGAAUGUGGAGGGCCGACUAUAUGGAAGUUUUCCUUUAAUUUUGCAGAUUACCUUGUAUUCUUCCAAUAGAUCUCCCUUUUCUUUUUUUUGCCCAAGUUAGCCAGAAUUCGUUUCUUUGUUUAAAAAAUAUAAACUGUAUUUUGCUCUUAAACGGGGUCUAGUGAAAAAGUAAGGACAAACUUUAAAACCUUCAUGUAAAAGAGUAGUCAUGAGAUGCAUUUCCAAAUCUUCACAAAUCAAAGACCAAGAACUAUCAGAGACCCUUGACUCAAUUCAAGGAUUUCUCGUUCUUUCUUCAAAUGGACACUUUCUGGGGCAGUAGCCCCAAACUCAAAAAAGUAACUAGAUCUAAAAAAUGGAAGUAUAUUACAGAUUCAUUCUUUCAUUCACUCAAGGUCCAAGUGAGUGGAGAAAGGAACAUCCUGCCAUGAAAAAAAGAUUUCAUUUAUUUAUUAAAUUAUUUGUUGAGCACAUACUAUGUAGCAGGCACUAUUCUAGUCAUGUAGGAUAAACCAGGAAACAAAAAAGAGAAAAAUCUUUGCCCUCUUUGAGCUCUCAUUCUAGCCUGGAGACCCAAAGGGAACUCUUCGUGGCCGUUAUUAUUUUGAUCCAGUGACUAUUAGGUAUAAUGUAUAGAUCAAAUAAAAUUUUACUUGCGAUUUUGGCUUUUUGCCUCAAAUAGAAAUGAAACCCAAACUAAUAGCUUUCAGAAGCGUUCAAUUAUUUUCAUAGUUCUGGCCUUUCCACUUAUUUUCCCUUUGGUCAAUCAUGGCCAAAAUUGGAAGACAAUCAUGUCUAGCCUGGUGAAUUCAGAUAUCGCCAAGAGAUUCAGCAGUGUCUGUGCCUGGAGCUUGGCACAAGCCCCUGCACACUUGUUGCUCAAUAAGUGUCGGAUGAUGGAUAUUUCUGAUCUGAAGCCGGAUUUCUCAAUAGAUGAUGGGAAUGAUCUUGCCCCGGGGGGAGGAGAGCUCCUUUCGCCUCUCUUCCUUCCCCAACUUCUGGGAUGAAGGGAAAAUUGCUAUGGAAAUGAACAUCCACAAGGCAUUUACUGGCUCAGUUUCAUGAUAAUAAAGGCAAAGGGAUGAGUCCUUUGGCAAUCGAUGUGAAUUCUAACAUCUCUAACUGCUUUUGGCCAGUUGGCUAUUUUAAUUAAGGUAAAAUUGAAUACGAGCUUUCUUUUUCCGAAGUUGCCAAUAAAACUAUAUUAUGAAUCCCUAAAGAAAUACGUUUUGAAAACAACUCACUGCCCUGCUUAUAGAAUUAUGUUAUUUAGGAACUGUUCAGUAGAAACUGUGACAUCUGAUAUACAAGGUGUAUAAUGGGAAGUCAGUGAGCACUGUGGCCAGUGGGAAAUAGGAGACAGAAGGAAAUGAGCAGAUAAAUACUCUAUUUGUUCUUCCAAGGGGAAGUCCAGAGGCACUGUCUUUUACGUAGUGUGUCUGUGGACAUCCUGCAAGGAUGUGUGGUUGGCUGUGUCUCUUCACGAAGUGGUAGCCAGCUCAGUUCCCCGUCACCUUGUAUUGGCUUCCAACCCCUCCUUAUCUCACAUCUCUUUCCCCCCACUCUCACUCUCCUAGAAUUGCAUCUUCCAAAAUGCAUUAGCACUUAAGCCUUGCUUCAGGUACCAUUUUUAGAAUACCCAAGUUAUGAGACGAGGUGAUCAAGUUUUCCCCAAAUGGAUAGCCCUUUUUCUUCAAACUAUUUACUAAAAAAUCAGUCCUUCCUCACAUGGAUACCUAGCACUGUUUCUGGACUCUGCUCUGUCACAUUGAUUUGUCUGUCUUUUUCCACAGUUAUCCCACUUUUAAUUCCUAAGGAUUUAGGGUUUGGUAUCUGGUAGGUUCUAAAUAAGUCUAAUAAGUUCACUAUCAGCUUUUUUCCUUCCCUCAUGCUCUGCUCUCACCUCUACUUUGAUUUUGUUUUUCUGUUUCAGUUUCACUCUCCUUCUUAGCAUGGAAUCUGUCACCAACCCCUCUGAUCUACUGCCAGCAUUUCAGCCAGCCUUAUCUCUUAAUCCAAAAUUCCUUGCAGUUUGACUAUUAUAAAAAUAAUUGGUAAUGCAAAAGAGACUGCUGGUAAUCUCCUGAUAUCUAUUUUCUCUUUUUUUCGUUAUGAUAGAACCUUGACUUUUGACUGUACAUGCAGUCUUCAGAAUGGCAAUCCCAUUUCCCAGACUCCUUCGUAUCUAGAUUUGGCCAUGUUACAAAGUUCUGUUCACUGAGAUCUAAACAGAAAUGUUAUCUGUAAGCUUCUGACAAAUUUCUUAAGAGACAGUGUGAGCGCUCUUUACCUCCACCUCUUCAUUAUCCUUUCCUCCAUCCUGCUGCCGGAAGUGUUCCAGCCGCCAUCUUGUAUCAUGAGGUUGAGGCUAUUCACAGGGAAGCAGUAAGGUAGAAGGGAGGUUAGUCUCUGGCUCUGUGGAGAACAGACCAGCCUUGGACCUCCUACCCUGAGACAUAAAUCAACUUGCAUAUUGUUUAAUACUGUUAUUUAGGGAUUUCUGUCAUUCACAGACAAACUGAAUCUGAGUUAGUAUGUUGGAGAAAUGAGAUGAAGACUGCAGGAUAGAAGGAGACUAUUGGGAAGAGGUGUGAAUUAGAAUUUUCUUUUCUAAUCUUAUUGAGAACUUUAGGCACCUUAAUGAAACUUUUAGCUUUUGUCUAAUGUGACCCUUGUGGACUUCAAGGAAGUCAUUUGAUAAAUCAAAUGUUCAGAAGGUUCAGAAAGAGUCAACCAGAUCUUAUAGUAGCCCGGAAUCUUAGAAAUCUCUACCACCACCCCCAUACUGAAUUGCUUUCUGUUUCACAGACAUCAAACACUGUUUUUCACAUGGUUUCUCGACAGAAGGGAGUGAAAAGCAAGAAACUUUCUGGUUAUAUGAUUAAAAUAUUCUAAAAAGCUGGCCUGGGGGAGACUGGUUGAGAAGUGCUAAUACCUCCUUCUGUUGUUGAAGGAUGUGUGCCUUUGGUUAUUGAGAAAUGGAAAGAAAACACAUGAAUGAGGAUUAUGUCAUUAUAAAAUCAGCACUCUUCUUUUUUUGUCUCUAUGUGUUGUCAUCUCAAAGCACUCUUCCACCUAUGGUGCUUGGCUCACUAAUGUGCCGGCAUGUGCGGUUGUAAGCCUUUCUCUGAGAAGUUUGGGAGACCUUCUUUGACAGACAUGAUGGACUUUGUCUAGUGAAGGGAAAAAAUCUUGGCUGUACGGUUUAAGGAUAAGGAAGUUUAUAUCUCCUCUCUGGAGCAUAUGUUUAUGUGAACUUGCUGAAGGGCCUUGAUCUCCCACGUACCUGCAGAUCUGGUUACACAGAAGAUUCCAGGAAACCAGAGCUAAAUAUUUUCCCAGUGACCUUCAGAGAGAAAAUAUUGGAGGCAGGAGAGAAAGGAGGGCAAAGCUCCACAAUUCUGGGCUCUUUGGAGAGUUUGUUCAAAGAUCAGAGUCAUUCAAGUGGUGGCUGGCGUAGGAAAUAUGACAAGGGUCGGGAACGUCGGAUAAAAUGAACACCAAUUGAAAGCAAAACCACUAAGAGGAAAACCAAGCAAUGCAAUGCUUGUUUUGGUGUUAUUUUGCUCACCUUCUGUUAAAAGACUGCUGGGGGUAGGAAGGAAGAAAUGACGAUAAACAUGGGGCCGGCUCAGCAAUCCCUAUGAGCGGGGUGGUGGGCCACAGGGAAAGCGCCAUCCUUCCUGAAGUGGUUUCCGCACCACCCCCGCUCCUGCUGGGCCCCACUCCCCAGGCCUUUAGGUUAUGCUGUUGCUUCUAAAACACUCUGUUUAAAGGUAAUCCUGAAACGUGAGAGGGUUAGUUCAUCGGUCCACCCUCACAGUGAGAGAUUAACUGACUAGUUUAGGAGUUCAGGGCCUGUGGGAGUUGAACCCAAGACAGAGACAUUUUGGAAGGGGCUUAGGGGUUUGAUUUUUUGGAGACCAGCCCACUGCUGGGUUAGGACAGAGGAAGGCCAGGGCAGUGUCCAUCCCAUAGGCAGAGAGCCAAGGGCAGGGUAAGUAGUAAGGCACAAAAGGAUGAGAGAGGAAAGGUCAAAGGUAACAUAGUUUUGUAUCAGUGCAGUUUUAUAUUCCACACUUCAGUGAGAAGGCAUAUUUCCAAAUCCCCAGUCUUUCCUUUAUUAAUUCACACCUUUAAAAUGAUGGGCCUUGAGGGUAAUGAAUAUCAAGGAUCUCUAUUUUUUCUCACGUAGGGAGUUCAGAUUCAGAGCUUUAGAAAUUAAAUGAAAAACAGGGGAGCUGGGAAAGUAUAUUUCUGCGUAAUACAUGAGGAGAUUCCAGCUUGACCUUAAGCCAUGUUCACUUCUUGGAGACAUGUUGGGACUCCUGGUGGGGCAGAACCUGCAGAGAUGUAUUUGCAUGAAUGCUUGAUGGGCCUCCUAGGAGAAAACUCAGCCUAAAAAAAGAGAGAGUAAGUUAGAUGCACUCGAUCUGGUGAAGGAGAUUUAGCUCAGGACCAUCAGAGGGGAGAAGGAGACUUUUGAAUAAUGUACACUGUCUCUCAUUUGGCUUUUUUUCCAGCCCAGCCUCUCAUGGAGUACUGUCUGAGUUCUAGGAGAGUGGGAUGGAGGACGAAAAUGGAGUCCUUCAUGAAACUCUCUGAAGACAUCCUUGGACAACAGUAUUAUGUUGUUAUUCAGCUGGGCAAGGAUAGUCCACAAAAGAGGUAUAGGUCCCAAUUCUAUGUGGGACAGAGUGUGGUUCCAUGCACUGAGGACUCCGGAGGACAUGGCUUUGGAAACUUCAGGAUGUCAACAUACUGGUCCUGAGAGUACUCAGAGUGGGGAGGUGGUCCUCCAGGGAGGUGGCUGCAGUGCUCAAGGGAAACCACGAAGGAGCCAGACACAGAAGAACCCCACAGAUGGGGGCUGGGUAGAAGAGAAGUGGGAGAAAAGUAGGAGAUACCACCUGACUUGACUGUGAGCACGAAAAGACCUCCUGGGGCCGCCUUGUUCUUCUGCGGGGGAGGGCAGUGCUGCAGUGAUGGAAGGAACCAAUUGGGAGACUGAGCUCAAGGAGUCGCUACCACCUGGGCUCGUUUAGCUGGAUGGGGCAUGGCUGCUGCACACAGAACAAAAGUGAAGGACAAUACCUGUUCCUGAGGAUGCGAUGCUUACCCAAGAAGAUGUUGAACAUGAGGGAUGCUUUGUGACCAAGAAAUUACAGUCUUCUGAGAGGACUCUGGCAGAGAGCCCUGUAUGGAGGAGGAGGUGCUCCUUGGGAGACCCCUUUGAAGAGUAAGAAGGGAGUGGGGGGUUUGAGGAGGGCUGAGCAGGUGAGAGCCGGCCAGAGGAGACUUGCUGAGCUGGUACACAUCAUGGGAGGAAGACGAGGAAAACCAGGCUGCGAUAAGGUGAGCCUCUGAAAGCCAUUUGUCAGGCUUUUCCCCAAGGAGGGACUGUGCCCUGAGAGGUGGACUAAUGGGGGUACUUUAGGUUUAAUGGAGGACCUUUCAAGGACCUCUUGAUGUGCUGCGUCUCUCCAUCUCAUCAGCGAUUCUUCUGUGCCCAAGACACCCUGAGAGACACUGGAGUUAUGAAAAGGUAUGCACUAUCUCCACCUUCAUAGAGCCGACGAUACCUCUGAGGGGACCAGACCUUCACAAAGACAUGCACAAUCUUAUUUGUUUAGCGAUGGAACUUUGUGGAAACAUGGCUAACGCAGCACAGUGUAUGCUAUGUAGAGGAUGAAUCAGACCGCCAAAACCAUAGUCUGAUUCACUACUUGACAAUCUUUUUCUCGAACAAUGAGCUAUUUUUCAAAUGUAAAUGAAUUUAAAAUUUCUCUGAAAUGACCAAAGACCCCUUUUUGUUUUCAAAAGGGAAAUGUACAGUAUACCCAGGGAGCUGGCUUCCCAGUUUCUUUUCUCUCUGCUCAUAAAGGCAACAGUGGAAUAAGGCUUCAGAGGGGCUCUGUGCUCCGGAUGCCACAUGAUAUGGGCAGCAGGUUCCACACUGACCUCUUGGGCAGACGAAGUGGAGCUGGCUGAACAUUUCUCGCUGUGCCUGAACUGUUCUCUCUGUGCUUUUCCCCUCAAACUUUCCCUUUGGUACCAGAGCCCUUUAGGGAUGACUCAUGCAUUUACUUAUUUAUUUAUUCAGCACAUACUUUGACCCCCAUCUAUGUGUCAAGCACAGUAUAAGCCACUGGGUAUCUCAUGAUAUAUAGGCUCAAAUAGUCCCUGCACGCAAGGAUCUUAAAAUCUAGUGAGAGAGACAACGUUAUUAGUGUAACAAUAAUUAUACACAUUAUUUUGCUGUGUAAUAUUGCUGCCUAAACAUUACAGUUAGAUUAACUAUAAGAUAAUUUAUAAAAUCCCAACAACUAAUGAACAUGGGUGGUCAUUUUCCCAAAGCCACGCACACGUCAUAAUUUAAUUAUACUGAUGAAAACGACACUGGCAAAGAACAGGGUGAUGAGAGAAUAUAGUGGCCGCCUAUCCUAGCCCGUACGGUCUGAAGAAAGCUUUCCUGAGAAAGUGACUUUUAGAAUAAAACUUAAAGAAUGAAUAAAAGUUGGCCAGGGGAAGGGGAAGUAAAGAUGAAGAACAGAAUGUGGCCCAGGCAGAGGGAACAGGACAAACAAAGGCCCUGGGGCCUUUGAAACUAGUCCCAGUGGAUUUGUGAACUCUUUCAGAGAUGCUCCACGCUGGUCCCCUUAUACUUUUCAAAGAAAGAAAGUUCAAGAUGCUUCCAACUUCCCACGUUUAUAUGCUAUCAGCUUAUUCCCAGCUCCCCCUGCUUUCCCCAUCUCCCCUACUCUCAGCUCUCUGGCCAUGACACUCAGUCAUAGCCCGCAUGGCGUAGUGGCGUCCUCUGACCCUGGGCAGCAGAGCGUUGGUAGAAGUCCUAUGUGUCUAGACAAAAGAUUGGUUAGUUUUUUCGAAAGCGAGUGUUCCAGGUCUGACUCAACCUGACUGAGAGCCAAGAAAGAGAUGAUAAGGCUGAUGGAAAAGAUCUCCUUAAUGAACGGCAAUAAAAAACAGCCCAAAGGUGAAGGCACGCAAUGGCCUUGGCGUUUCCUGCGGCUGCGGCCCCAGACAGGCUCUUGAAAGCGCUCAAGGAUAAGAGGUAGGAAGGCCAUUUUAUUUCCCCUCUGCUACUUGUAUUUUAACACUUUCCUGCCUCUCACGCUAAUCUCCAUUCCCCACACCUCAUGCUCCAAACAGUCGCCCUUUAGUUUUAGGGGGUAAAUAUUAUCCCUCUUGAGUGGGAUAAGAUGUCUAGGUCACACAGCCCACAGGAAUGGAGACUAUUCAGUCAACUUUCCUGGUGGUCCCUGUUUUAACCCUUUCAACCUCAAUGCAUUCAUUUAUAAAAUGGUUGGAAAGACGAGCCUAUGAUGUCACCACGAGGACUGAGAGUUUAAACAACGGGUUAUAAAUGAUAUGGAAUGUUGGCUAUUAAAGAGGAAAAUUCUGCUAUGAUUUCCUAAGCAUCCCAGGUGGCCAUUCCCCAAGGUGGAGGAGUUGUCACCUUAUGGGCACUUAAGGAACCUCACUUCAGGGGACCACCAAUGUAAUGGUAAUCAGGCAGGGUUUUUUUGUCUUCCCAGAAAUAAGAAAUAUAAACAAGGUUUAAAUUAGUAGCCAACAGACAUACUUUGCUCUCAAUUUUAAUCAGAAAAAUUUAAAAAACAAAGACACGUCUAACCUUUUAAAAACACUCUGUAAUUAUGAAGCCCUUCCAAUAUAGUGAGUGAAAAAUAGAUCUCAUUUAGGU
RNAcentral lists this long non-coding RNA (15699 nucleotides) under Equus caballus (horse). Its description in RNAcentral is "lncRNA (ENSECAG00000052341.1)". The record is from RNAcentral. Lineage: Eukaryota; Metazoa; Chordata; Mammalia; Perissodactyla; Equidae.